Long non-coding RNA from Gasterosteus aculeatus aculeatus (three-spined stickleback), 1690 nucleotides. The record is from Ensembl. Lineage: Eukaryota; Metazoa; Chordata; Actinopteri; Perciformes; Gasterosteidae.
CAUUAGCCACACAACAGCCGGGGACACAGCUGCGGUUAAUCUCAGUUUGGUAGGCUUGUAAUAAAAGUUUGAAAUAGCAGGACUGGAGGUUGAGCACCUGGUCCAUUUUGGCGAGGAGGGUUUCAAGCCGCGGUCAGCGUGCGAAUCAGCGCUGGCCUGAACUCAAUUCCAGGCCCUUAAAAAAAUGACUUUCAUGCAAUUCAGAGUUGGGGUGGUGAUCAAAACGUGCCUGGAGGGUCCUGACUGUCCUUCAGCUCCCCAACAGGACUGAACAAAGGGUCAGUUUUCCAACCAGGUCUUUAAACAUAUCCAGCGGCGUUUCCUUAUUCGAUUAUUACUGAUGAUAUGUGAGUAUGCUUUGUAACAUGAACACAAUUCCAUACAAUUGGAGGUUUAAUACGUUGCACGCGUUGCUGUCAUUCUGUCCACCCUCUUAGACUCUCUUCCUUCCUAAAACAGUUGAUGCAUCUUGCUUUUGGCUUGGAAACAUGAAUGUCACUUGUAUGAAUGGUUUUCUUCUGUGAUGUCUAAAUGGUGUCAUUUGCUCCAGAUGCCCGCCUCUGUCUAUUUGAUGUGAGGACCAUCAGAAGUGAAAGACAUCUCUCUGCUGCUCGCAAACACUCCCGCGCACUUCCAAAUGCUGGUCCCUCCCCAUCAGAUAUGCUCCAAGUCUAGACAACGUACCGGCGGACGGAGCAAGAAAAUGAGGAGGACCGGUUAGUGGCUCCUGGCUGACUGAGUCGGAUCCGACACCAUUAGUCCGACUCGCCGGCUCAUGUGCACAACUGGCUUCUUAAAGAAGUUUAGGCCUGAGUAGCCUCGCAGACGCUGCGUUCCAGCCCCUCUGUUUUACAUCUGAGCCUGAUGAAUCCCUCACGUCUCCGGUAGGCCUGUCAUACCGCCAAUCACUGCAAGGACCCAUCACCACGGCAACAACGGGGGUGUCGUGGACACAUUCUGUUUUAUCGAUAGCAAUCACAAAACUAAUUUCUGUCGUCCUAGUCGUGCUGUCACACACGUGUAGGAUGCUGAGAGCAUCGAUCAUCGCCCUCGUAUCUCCUCUGAAGAAACAACACAAGCGAUCCACUCAGCUGGCAAAGAGAUGGAGACAAAGUGUCAGGACAGCGCUGAAGUACAUCAGAGAUGAUAUUAAAUUCAGGCCUUAAUGCCGAACAUCCCAAAAAAUAAAGCUUCAUCAACUCCAGCAAAUCAAAUCCAAUGACAAAUGACUAACAAACGGUAGCGGAUGAAGUAUUCAUCCUUUAUUUAACCUAUUUUAGAAACCAACUUCUCUGCUGGAAGGACGUUUGUCAUUAUCAUUUUAAAGAGAAAGCCUAGGAAAUAUGAAGUUGGCACAUGGAAUAUGAAAUAUGUGAGCAAUUACCAGGAAACAAGGGGGUAAAAAAGUUGCCACUUUGUUUCAUUAUAAGAAUUGUUGCACAGACCAAUUUAGGAGCUUGAGCCACACUGGAGCAGAUUUCUUUGCGAUUGGCCUCAGCUGCUCCGAUGUUGAUGUCUCAUUUUAAUAAGCUUUAUGAAACUGCAACGCAAAAAUGUUGUAGCACUUUUUGAAGUUGUAAAACUUCUUGAUGAAAACCCUGUUACUUUGUUACCCAUGUUACUUUGUAUUAAAAAGGUUUUUUGUUGUGGAUUAAUUUUGUGAAUUUAAGUAAAAUGUAUGAAAUUGACA